AAAUUUUUAUAAUCCCCCAAAUUAAAAUUUUGGGGGAUUUACCCAAAAUUUU
RNAcentral lists this transfer RNA (52 nucleotides) under Scelio sp. ZJUH_2016028. RNAcentral describes it as "tRNA-Phe". Lineage: Eukaryota; Metazoa; Arthropoda; Insecta; Hymenoptera; Scelionidae. The record is from RNAcentral.